RNAcentral lists this transfer RNA (73 nucleotides) under Omnitrophica WOR_2 bacterium RIFOXYA2_FULL_38_17. RNAcentral describes it as "tRNA-Asn". It matches the Rfam family "tRNA". From Rfam's summary of the family: Transfer RNA (tRNA) molecules are approximately 80 nucleotides in length. RNAcentral also lists the same sequence under 2 other names. The record is from RNAcentral. Lineage: Bacteria; Pseudomonadati; Candidatus Omnitrophota.
UCCCCUGUAGCUCAGUUGGUAGAGCGAGUGGCUGUUAACCACUAUGUCCGAGGUUCGAGUCCUCGCGGGGGAG